GUGGGGAAUUUUGGACAAUGGGCGAAAGCCUGAUCCAGCAAUGCCGCGUGUGUGAUGAAGGCCUUCGGGUUGUAAAGCACUUUUGGCGGGAACGAAAAGGACCGUGCCAAUACCAUGGUCUGAUGACGGUACCCGCAGAAUAAGCACCGGCUAACUACGUGCCAGCAGCCGCGGUAAUACGUAGGGUGCAAGCGUUAAUCGGAAUUACUGGGCGUAAAGAGUGCGCAGGCGGUUUUGCAAGACCGAUGUGAAAUCCCCGGGCUUAACCUGGGAACUGCAUUGGUGACUGCAAGGCUAGAGUGUGUCAGAGGGAGGUGGAAUUCCGCAUGUAGCAGUGAAAUGCGUAGAUAUGCGGAGGAACACCGAUGGCGAAGGCAGCCUCCUGGGAUAACACUGACGCUCAUGCACGAAAGCGUGGGGAGCAAACAGG
This 430-nucleotide ribosomal RNA is filed under the name uncultured bacterium. RNAcentral's name for it is "bacterial SSU rRNA". It matches the Rfam family "Bacterial small subunit ribosomal RNA", at positions 354 to 776 of the family's 1533-position model. The record is from RNAcentral.